Molecule: ribosomal RNA, 253 nt
Filed under: uncultured bacterium
Lineage: Bacteria
Description: partial 16S ribosomal RNA
Rfam family: Bacterial small subunit ribosomal RNA
Source: RNAcentral
UACGAAGGGGGCUAGCGUUGUUCGGAAUCACUGGGCGUAAAGGGCGCGUAGGCGGCCGAUCAAGUCGGGGGUGAAAGCCUGUGGCUCAACCACAGAAUUGCCUUCGAUACUGUUUGGCUUGAGACCGGAAGAGGUUAGUGGAACUGCGAGUGUAGAGGUGAAAUUCGUAGAUAUUCGCAAGAACACCAGUGGCGAAGGCGGCUCACUGGCCCGGAACUGACGCUGAGGUGCGAAAGCGUGGGGAGCAAACAGG